Molecule: long non-coding RNA, 516 nt
Organism: Homo sapiens (human)
Lineage: Eukaryota; Metazoa; Chordata; Mammalia; Primates; Hominidae
Source: Ensembl
GUAUUACUCCAUUUUCACACUGCUGAUAAAGACAUACCUAAGACUGGGCAAUUUACAAAAGAAAGAGGAUUAUUGGACUUACAGUUCCACAUGGCUGGGAAGGCUUCACAAUCAAGGCGGAAGGCAAGGAGGAGCAAGUCACAUCUUACAUGGAUGGCAGUUGGCAAUAAAAGAGCUUGUGCAGGGCAACUCCACUUUUAAAACAAGCAGAUCUCAUAAGACCCAUUCACUAUCAUGAGAACAGCAUGAGAAAGAUCUGUCCCCAUAAUUCAAUCAUCUCCCACCAGGUUCCUCCCACAAAAGGUGGGAAUUAUGGGAGCUACAAGAUGAGAUUUUGGUGGGGACACAGAGCCAAACCAUAUCACCAGAGUGAAAAACAGAGUUGAUCCCAUGCUUCAUUUCACAGCUGCCUAGCUACAGUGAGUGAUAUAUGUUUCUAACACAAUGGAUGGUGGCUUAGGAAGAGGAUCCAAUAAAAUCUAUGUUGGAGCCAAGAAUAAAAUCCAAGGAAAAUGC